This 31-nucleotide non-coding RNA is filed under the name Mus musculus (house mouse). The record is from RNAcentral. Lineage: Eukaryota; Metazoa; Chordata; Mammalia; Rodentia; Muridae.
UGAGUGUAUAAAUAAGAAACAAAUUCUACUU